GGUCCAAUGGUCUAGUGGUUAUGAUUUCUGUCUUACACACAGAAGGUCUCCAGUUCGAUCCUGGAUUGGACCA
RNAcentral lists this transfer RNA (73 nucleotides) under Lyophyllum shimeji. It matches the Rfam family "tRNA". From Rfam's summary of the family: Transfer RNA (tRNA) molecules are approximately 80 nucleotides in length. Their secondary structure includes four short double-helical elements and three loops (D, anti-codon, and T loops). Further hydrogen bonds mediate the characteristic L-shaped molecular structure. tRNAs have two regions of fundamental functional importance: the anti-codon, which is responsible for specific mRNA codon recognition, and the 3' end, to which the tRNAs corresponding amino acid is attached (by aminoacyl-tRNA synthetases). tRNAs cope with the degeneracy of the genetic code in two manners: having more than one tRNA (with a specific anti-codon) for a particular amino acid; and 'wobble' base-pairing, i.e. permitting non-standard base-pairing at the 3rd anti-codon position. RNAcentral also lists the same sequence under 11 other names. The record is from Rfam by way of RNAcentral. Lineage: Eukaryota; Fungi; Basidiomycota; Agaricomycetes; Agaricales; Lyophyllaceae.